Molecule: ribosomal RNA, 500 nt
Filed under: uncultured bacterium
Lineage: Bacteria
Description: partial 16S ribosomal RNA
Rfam family: Bacterial small subunit ribosomal RNA
Source: RNAcentral
AUUGAACGCUGGCGGAAUGCUUUACACAUGCAAGUCGAACGGCAGCACGGACUUCGGUCUGGUGGCGAGUGGCGAACGGGUGAGUAAUGUAUCGGAACGUGCCCAGUCGUGGGGGAUAACGUAGUGAAAAUUACGCUAAUACCGCAUACGAUCGAUGGAUGAAAGCGGGGGAUCGCAAGACCUCGCGCGAUUGGGGCGGCCGAUAUCAGAUUAGGGAGUUGGUGGGGUAAAGGCCCACCAAGCCAACGAUCGGUAGCUGGUCUGAGAGGACGACCAGCUUCACUGGAACUGAGCAACGGUCCAGACUCCUACGGGAGGCAGCAGUGGGGAAUUUUGGACAAUGGGCGAAAGCCUGAUCCAGCCAUUCCGCGUGCAGGAUGAAGGCCCUCGGGUUGUAAACUGCUUUUGUACAGAACGAAAAGGUUUCUACUAAUACUAGGAGCUCAUGACGGUACUGUAAGAAUAAGCACCGGCUAACUACGUGCCAGCAGCCGCCGUAA